RNAcentral lists this ribosomal RNA (440 nucleotides) under uncultured bacterium. RNAcentral's name for it is "partial 16S ribosomal RNA". It matches the Rfam family "Bacterial small subunit ribosomal RNA", at positions 338 to 795 of the family's 1533-position model. The record is from RNAcentral.
CCUACGGGAGGCAGCAGUGGGGGAUAUUGCACAAUGGGGGAAACCCUGAUGCAGCGACGCCGCGUGAGUGAAGAAGUAUUUCGGUAUGUAAAGCUCUAUCAGCAGGGAAGAAAAUGACAGUACCUGACCAAGAAGCCCCGGCUAACUACGUGCCAGCACCCGCGGUAAUACGCAGGGUGCCAGGGUUAUCCGGAUUUACUGGGUGUAAAGGGAGCGUAGGCGGUUAGGUAAGUCUGGAGUGAAAGCACGGGGCCCAACCCCGGGACUGAUUUGGAAACUGUGUAACUGGAGUACAGGAGGGGCAGGCGGAAUUCCUGGUGUAGCGGUGGAAUGCGUAGAUAUCAGGAGGAACACCGGCGGCGAAGGCGGUCUGCUGGACUGAAACUGACGUUGAGGCUCGAAAGCGUGGGGAGCAAACAGGAUUAGAUACCCCUGUAGUC